AUUGAACGCUGGCGGAAUGCUUUACACAUGCAAGUCGAACGGCAGCACGGACUUCGGUCUGGUGGCGAGUGGCGAACGGGUGAGCAAUGUAUCGGAACGUGCCCAGUCGUGGGGGAUAACGUAGUGAAAAUUACGCUAAUACCGCAUACGAUCUAAGGAUGAAAGCGGGGGAUCGCAAGACCUCGCGCGAUUGGAGCGGCCGAUAUCAGAUUAGGUAGUUGGUGGGGUAAAGGCCCACCAAGCCAACGAUCUGUAGCUGGUCUGAGAGGACGACCAGCCACACUGGAACUGAGACACGGUCCAGACUCCUACGGGAGGCAGCAGUGGGGAAUUUUGGACAAUGGGCGAAAGCCUGAUCCAGCCAUUCCGCGUGCAGGAUGAAGGCCCUCGGGUUGUAAACUGCCUUUGUACAGAACGAAAAGGUUUCUACUAAUACUAGGAGCUCAUGACGGUACUGUAAGAAUAAGCACCGGCUAACUACGUGCCAGCCGCCGCAGUAA
RNAcentral lists this ribosomal RNA (500 nucleotides) under uncultured bacterium. RNAcentral describes it as "partial 16S ribosomal RNA". It matches the Rfam family "Bacterial small subunit ribosomal RNA", at positions 30 to 523 of the family's 1533-position model. The record is from RNAcentral.